RNAcentral lists this ribosomal RNA (2923 nucleotides) under Klebsiella pneumoniae. RNAcentral's name for it is "bacterial LSU rRNA". It matches the Rfam family "Bacterial large subunit ribosomal RNA". Lineage: Bacteria; Pseudomonadati; Pseudomonadota; Gammaproteobacteria; Enterobacterales; Enterobacteriaceae. The record is from RNAcentral.
GGGUUGUGAGGUUAAGCGACUAAGCGUACACGGUGGAUGCCCUGGCAGUCAGAGGCGAUGAAGGACGUGCUAAUCUGCGAAAAGCGUCGGUAAGGUGAUAUGAACCGUUAUAACCGGCGAUGUCCGAAUGGGGAAACCCAGUGUGAUUCGUCACACUAUCGUUAACUGAAUACAUAGGUUAACGAGGCGAACCGGGGGAACUGAAACAUCUAAGUACCCCGAGGAAAAGAAAUCAACCGAGAUUCCCCCAGUAGCGGCGAGCGAACGGGGAGCAGCCCAGAGUCUGAAUCAGCUUGUGUGUUAGUGGAACGGUCUGGAAAGUCCGACGGUACAGGGUGAUAGUCCCGUACACCAAAAUGCACAGGUUGUGAACUCGAAGAGUAGGGCGGGACACGUGGUAUCCUGUCUGAAUAUGGGGGGACCAUCCUCCAAGGCUAAAUACUCCUGACUGACCGAUAGUGAACCAGUACCGUGAGGGAAAGGCGAAAAGAACCCCGGCGAGGGGAGUGAAAAAGAACCUGAAACCGUGUACGUACAAGCAGUGGGAGCACCUUCGGGUGUGACUGCGUACCUUUUGUAUAAUGGGUCAGCGACUUAUAUUCUGUAGCAAGGUUAACCGUAUAGGGGAGCCGCAGGGAAACCGAGUCUUAACUGGGCGUUAAGUUGCAGGGUAUAGACCCGAAACCCGGUGAUCUAGCCAUGGGCAGGUUGAAGGUUGGGUAACACUAACUGGAGGACCGAACCGACUAAUGUUGAAAAAUUAGCGGAUGACUUGUGGCUGGGGGUGAAAGGCCAAUCAAACCGGGAGAUAGCUGGUUCUCCCCGAAAGCUAUUUAGGUAGCGCCUCGUGAAUUCAUCUUCGGGGGUAGAGCACUGUUUCGGCUAGGGGGUCAUCCCGACUUACCAACCCGAUGCAAACUACGAAUACCGAAGAAUGUUAUCACGGGAGACACACGGCGGGUGCUAACGUCCGUCGUGAAGAGGGAAACAACCCAGACCGCCAGCUAAGGUCCCAAAGUCAUGGUUAAGUGGGAAACGAUGUGGGAAGGCACAGACAGCCAGGAUGUUGGCUUAGAAGCAGCCAUCAUUUAAAGAAAGCGUAAUAGCUCACUGGUCGAGUCGGCCUGCGCGGAAGAUGUAACGGGGCUAAACCAUGCACCGAAGCUGCGGCAGCGACACUAUGUGUUGUUGGGUAGGGGAGCGUUCUGUAAGCCUGCGAAGGUGUGCUGUGAGGCAUGCUGGAGGUAUCAGAAGUGCGAAUGCUGACAUAAGUAACGAUAAAGCGGGUGAAAAGCCCGCUCGCCGGAAGACCAAGGGUUCCUGUCCAACGUUAAUCGGGGCAGGGUGAGUCGACCCCUAAGGCGAGGCCGAAAGGCGUAGUCGAUGGGAAACAGGUUAAUAUUCCUGUACUUGGUGUUACUGCGAAGGGGGGACGGAGAAGGCUAUGUUAGCCGGGCGACGGUUGUCCCGGUUUAAGCAUGUAGGCUGGUUAUCCAGGCAAAUCCGGAUAAUCAAGGCUGAGGUGUGAUGACGAGGCACUACGGUGCUGAAGUAACAAAUGCCCUGCUUCCAGGAAAAGCCUCUAAGCAUCAGGUAACAUCAAAUCGUACCCCAAACCGACACAGGUGGUCAGGUAGAGAAUACCAAGGCGCUUGAGAGAACUCGGGUGAAGGAACUAGGCAAAAUGGUGCCGUAACUUCGGGAGAAGGCACGCUGGUGUGUAGGUGAAGUCCCUGCGGAUGGAGCUGAGACCAGUCGAAGAUACCAGCUGGCUGCAACUGUUUAUUAAAAACACAGCACUGUGCAAACACGAAAGUGGACGUAUACGGUGUGACGCCUGCCCGGUGCCGGAAGGUUAAUUGAUGGGGUUAUCCGUAAGGAGAAGCUCUUGAUCGAAGCCCCGGUAAACGGCGGCCGUAACUAUAACGGUCCUAAGGUAGCGAAAUUCCUUGUCGGGUAAGUUCCGACCUGCACGAAUGGCGUAAUGAUGGCCAGGCUGUCUCCACCCGAGACUCAGUGAAAUUGAACUCGCUGUGAAGAUGCAGUGUACCCGCGGCAAGACGGAAAGACCCCGUGAACCUUUACUAUAGCUUGACACUGAACAUUGAGCCUUGAUGUGUAGGAUAGGUGGGAGGCUUUGAAGCGUGGACGCCAGUCUGCGUGGAGCCAACCUUGAAAUACCACCCUUUAAUGUUUGAUGUUCUAACGUUGGCCCCUUACCGGGGUUGCGGACAGUGUCUGGUGGGUAGUUUGACUGGGGCGGUCUCCUCCCAAAGCGUAACGGAGGAGCACGAAGGUUAGCUAAUCCUGGUCGGACAUCAGGAGGUUAGUGCAAUGGCAUAAGCUAGCUUGACUGCGAGCGUGACGGCGCGAGCAGGUGCGAAAGCAGGUCAUAGUGAUCCGGUGGUUCUGAAUGGAAGGGCCAUCGCUCAACGGAUAAAAGGUACUCCGGGGAUAACAGGCUGAUACCGCCCAAGAGUUCAUAUCGACGGCGGUGUUUGGCACCUCGAUGUCGGCUCAUCACAUCCUGGGGCUGAAGUAGGUCCCAAGGGUAUGGCUGUUCGCCAUUUAAAGUGGUACGCGAGCUGGGUUUAGAACGUCGUGAGACAGUUCGGUCCCUAUCUGCCGUGGGCGCUGGAGAAUUGAGGGGGGCUGCUCCUAGUACGAGAGGACCGGAGUGGACGCAUCACUGGUGUUCGGGUUGUCAUGCCAAUGGCACUGCCCGGUAGCUAAAUGCGGAAGAGAUAAGUGCUGAAAGCAUCUAAGCACGAAACUUGCCCCGAGAUGAGUUCUCCCUGAGACUUUAAGUCUCCUGAAGGAACGUUAAAGACGAUGACGUUGAUAGGCCGGGUGUGUAAGCGCAGCGAUGCGUUGAGCUAACCGGUACUAAUGAACCGUGAGGCUUAACCUUACAACGCCGAAG